GAACGACUCUCGGCAACGGAUAUCUCGGCUCUUGCAUCGAUGAAGAACGUAGCGAAAUGCGAUACUUGGUGUGAAUUGCAGAAUCCCGUGAACCAUCGAGUCUUUGAACGCAAGUUGCGCCUGAAGCCAUSAGGUUGAAGGCACGUCUGCCUGGGCGUCACGCAU
This 165-nucleotide ribosomal RNA is filed under the name Vaccinium uliginosum (bog bilberry). RNAcentral describes it as "5.8S ribosomal RNA". It matches the Rfam family "5.8S ribosomal RNA". Rfam says of the family: 5.8S ribosomal RNA (5.8S rRNA) is a component of the large subunit of the eukaryotic ribosome. It is transcribed by RNA polymerase I as part of the 45S precursor that also contains 18S and 28S rRNA. The record is from RNAcentral. Lineage: Eukaryota; Viridiplantae; Streptophyta; Magnoliopsida; Ericales; Ericaceae.